UACGAAGGGGGCUAGCGUUGCUCGGAAUCACUGGGCGUAAAGCGCACGUAGGCGGCUUUCUAAGUCAGGGGUGAAAUCCUGGAGCUCAACUCCAGAACUGCCUUUGAUACUGAGAGCUUGAGUCCGGGAGAGGUGAGUGGAACUGGCGAGUGUAGAGGUGAAAUUCGUAGAUAUUCGCAAGAACACCAGUGGCGAAGGCGGCUCACUGGCCCGGUACUGACGCUGAGGUGCGAAAGCGUGGGAGCAACAGG
RNAcentral lists this ribosomal RNA (251 nucleotides) under uncultured bacterium. RNAcentral describes it as "partial 16S ribosomal RNA". It matches the Rfam family "Bacterial small subunit ribosomal RNA", at positions 524 to 776 of the family's 1533-position model. The record is from RNAcentral.